This 633-nucleotide long non-coding RNA is filed under the name Medicago truncatula (barrel medic). RNAcentral describes it as "long non-coding RNA (MTRU_LNC000657)". The record is from RNAcentral. Lineage: Eukaryota; Viridiplantae; Streptophyta; Magnoliopsida; Fabales; Fabaceae.
UAUUUGAUCAGUUAAAAUGAAUGUAAUGAAGAAUCCCCGUGAACUUAAUUUAGUUGGUAGAGACGGAUAUUACAUUUUAUCUGUAGGAGUUGGAGUUCGAACCUCGUAUACUCCACUUCUCUAUAAUUAAAUUGUAUGAGCUCUAGCCACUAGACUAUAUGAUAAAAAAAAAUGAAUGUAACGAACAAUUGGUAUUGAAGAUUUUUUGUCAUAUACCAUAUUUAGUAUUUUGAAGUUGGUUUUGAAGUUGUUUGUAGUUUGUUAUUAGUCUCACAAUGCUCAGUUUCUUGACUGUUGAGUAUAUAAAUAUGUUUGAGUAUCCACAUCAUUUGAGCUAUCUCUGAGGAUAUGAGAUUCAAACCUAUUUAACAUGGUAUCAGAGUCGGGUUAAAGAUUGCAAUGUGCAAAUUGGACUCAGAUCCACGCUAGACGUGUGAGUGAGUGUUGAAGUUGGUUUUAAAAUUAUUUGUAGUUUGUUAUUAGUUUCACAUUCCUCAUGUUUCCAUGAUGUUGAGUGUAUAAAUAUGUUUGAGUACCCAUACUCUUUGAGUUAGCUUUUAUGAUAGGAUCCAAACCAAUUUAACAUAGCAAACAAAAGAUUACUUUAGUACUUUAGACAAUAUGUAGUCGUAC